CUGACAAUGCAAGAUUGUGAGAGAAUGUAUAGUGUCCAUUUAUUGCUUUAAACUUUUAUUGAGGAGUCAAGUACCUACAAGAGUUAACCCACCAUUUGAGCAAUCAUUGAAUGGGGAGAGCAGAUGUGUUAAACGUGUCGUACCAUGCUUAACCAGUGUAUCUGUUUUUGAUGUGGGGUAAAAUCAUCACCUGUUUAUGGUCAAGGAGGGCACAUUGCCCGAAAGAACCACAUGCCAUGGGGAUAACAUAGCCUUCGC
RNAcentral lists this long non-coding RNA (258 nucleotides) under Actinidia chinensis (golden kiwifruit). RNAcentral describes it as "long non-coding RNA (ACHI_LNC000151)". The record is from RNAcentral. Lineage: Eukaryota; Viridiplantae; Streptophyta; Magnoliopsida; Ericales; Actinidiaceae.